AGAGUUGAUCUGGCUCAGGACGAACGCUGGCGGCGUGCUUAACACAUGCAAGUCGAGCGAUGAAGCUCUCAGAAGUGGAUUAGCGGCGGACGGGUGAGUAACACGUGGGUAACCUGCCUCAUAGAGGGGAAUAGCCUUCCGAAAGGAAGAUUAAUACCGCAUAAGAUUGUAAUAUCGCAUGAUAUAGCAAUUAAAGGAGUAAUCCGCUAUGAGAUGGACCCGCGUCGCAUUAGCUAGUUGGUGAGGUAACGGCUCACCAAGGCGACGAUGCGUAGCCGACCUGAGAGGGUGAUCGGCCACAUUGGGACUGAGACACGGCCCAGACUCCUACGGGAGGCAGCAGUGGGGAAUAUUGCACAAUGGGGGAAACCCUGAUGCAGCAACGCCCGCGUGAGUGAUGACGGUCUUCGGAUUGUAAAGCUCUGUCUUCAGGGAUGAUAAUGACGGUACCUGAGGAGGAAGCCACGGCUAACUACGUGCCAGCAGCUGC
RNAcentral lists this ribosomal RNA (490 nucleotides) under uncultured bacterium. RNAcentral describes it as "bacterial SSU rRNA". It matches the Rfam family "Bacterial small subunit ribosomal RNA", at positions 8 to 518 of the family's 1533-position model. The record is from RNAcentral.